RNAcentral lists this ribosomal RNA (615 nucleotides) under uncultured bacterium. RNAcentral describes it as "bacterial SSU rRNA". It matches the Rfam family "Bacterial small subunit ribosomal RNA", at positions 28 to 638 of the family's 1533-position model. The record is from RNAcentral.
GAUGAACGCUAGCGGCAGGCCUAAUACAUGCAAGUCGAGGGGCAGCACAGGUAGCAAUACUGGGUGGCGACCGGCGCACGGGUGCGUAACACGUAUACAAUCUGCCCAUAUCAGGAGAAUAGCCCGGAGAAAUUCGGAUUAAUGCUCCAUAACAUAAUGAACUGGCAUCAGUUUAUUAUUAAAGUUCCGACGGAUAUGGAUGAGUAUGCGGAUGAUUAGCUAGUUGGUAGUGUAAUGGACUACCAAGGCUACGAUCAAUAGGGGUACUGAGAGGUUAAACCCCCACACUGGUACUGAGACACGGACCAGACUCCUACGGGAGGCAGCAGUAAGGAAUAUUGGACAAUGGUGGCAACACUGAUCCAGCCAUGCCGCGUGCAGGAUGAAGGCGCUACGCGUUGUAAACUGCUUUUGUACGGGAGAAAACCUAUCUACGUGUAGAUAGCUGAUAGUACCGUAAGAAUAAGCAUCGGCUAACUUCGUGCCAGCAGCCGCGGUAAUACGAAGGAUGCAAGCGUUAUCCGGAUUUAUUGGGUUUAAAGGGUGCGUAGGCGGACUUAUAAGUCAGUGGUGAAAUCUCGUUGCUUAACAACGAACGUGCCAUUGAUACUGUAG